This 277-nucleotide ribosomal RNA is filed under the name uncultured bacterium. RNAcentral describes it as "partial 16S ribosomal RNA". It matches the Rfam family "Bacterial small subunit ribosomal RNA", at positions 524 to 797 of the family's 1533-position model. The record is from RNAcentral.
UACGUAGGGUGCAAGCGUUAAUCGGAAUUACUGGGCGUAAAGCGUGCGCAGGCGGUUUUGUAAGUCUGUCGUGAAAUCCCCCGGGCUCAACCUGGGAAAUUGCGAUGGAGACUGCAAGGCUAGAAUCUGGCAAGAGGGGGGUAGAAUUCCGACGUGUGAGCAGUGAAAUGCGUAGAGAUAGUGGAGGAACACCGAUGGCGAAGGCAGCCCCUGGGUCAGAUUGACGCUACCAUGCACGAAGCGUGGGAGCAAGAGAUAGAAACCGGAGUGAGAUCCA